GAUGAACGCUGGCGGCGUGCCUAAUACAUGCAAGUCAAGCGAACAGACGAGGAGCUUGCUCCUCUGACGUUAGCGGCGGACGGGUGAGUAACACGUGGAUAACCUACCUAUAAGACUGGGAUAACUUCGGGAAACCGGAGCUAAUACCGGAUAAUAUAUUGAACCGCAUGGUUCAAUAGUGAAAGACGGUUUUGCUGUCACUUAUAGAUGGAUCCGCGCCGCAUUAGCUAGUUGGUAAGGUAACGGCUUACCAAGGCGACGAUGCGUAGCCGACCUGAGAGGGUGAUCGGCCACACUGGAACUGAGACACGGUCCAGACUCCUACGGGAGGCAGCAGUAGGGAAUCUUCCGCAAUGGGCGAAAGCCUGACGGAGCAACACCGCGUGAGUGAUGAAGGUCUUCGGAUCGUAAAACUCUGUUAUUAGGGAAGAACAAAUGUGUAAGUAACUAUGCACGUCUUGACGGUACCUAAUCAGAAAGCCACGGCUAACUACGUG
This 497-nucleotide ribosomal RNA is filed under the name uncultured bacterium. Its description in RNAcentral is "partial 16S ribosomal RNA". It matches the Rfam family "Bacterial small subunit ribosomal RNA", at positions 28 to 507 of the family's 1533-position model. The record is from RNAcentral.